GACAGAGGGUGCAAACGUUGUUCGGAAUUACUGGGCGUAAAGCGUGUGUAGGCGGCCAUGCAAGUCGGAUGUGAAAGCCCUGGGCUCAACCCAGGAAGUGCACUCGAAACUGCGUGGCUUGAGUACUGGAGAGGUUAGUGGAAUUCUCGGUGUAGAGGUGAAAUUCGUAGAUAUCGAGAGGAACACCGGUGGCGAAGGCGGCCAUCUGGACAGAAACUGACGCUGAGACGCGAAAGCGUGGGGAGCAAACAGG
This 253-nucleotide ribosomal RNA is filed under the name uncultured bacterium. Its description in RNAcentral is "partial 16S ribosomal RNA". It matches the Rfam family "Bacterial small subunit ribosomal RNA", at positions 524 to 776 of the family's 1533-position model. The record is from RNAcentral.